GUUUGUUAGAAGUGGCUACUGGUUAUAAGUCGAUCGUAUAGAGUAAGUUCUUUGCCAUAUAGUUCUUUCGACAUCUCGACGAAAAUACAUUUUUGGAAAAGUGUUGUUUGUGUAGAAAAAGCCAUAGGAAAUUAGUGAAUGAUAUUUAUUUUUAGGUAGAUAUUGUGUUAAUUAUUUCAUACAAGUGUUUGGCAAUUGUUGUAUCAUCAUGAAAAAAAUUGACAAAACAAUUUAAAAUUUCUUGUUUUUGGUAUCUUUAUACUUACAAGAUAAAAGAAUGAAUGGUGUGAUGGACCGAACACCUCAAAGCCAUUGUUCUG
Molecule: long non-coding RNA, 320 nt
Organism: Agrilus planipennis (emerald ash borer)
Lineage: Eukaryota; Metazoa; Arthropoda; Insecta; Coleoptera; Buprestidae
Exons: 2
Source: RefSeq, a predicted model, not a curated record